UCCGUAGGCGGGCAAUUAAGUCAGAGGUGAAAUCCCACAGCUCAACUGUGGAACUGCCUUUGAUACUGGUUGUCUUGAGUUAUAGUGAAGUAGAUAGAAUAUGUAGUGUAGCGGUGAAAUGCAUAGAUAUUACAUAGAAUACCGAUUGCGAAGGCAGUCUACUAACUAUAUACUGACGCUAAUGGACGAAAGCGUGGGGAGCGAACAGGAUUAGAUACCCUGGUAGUCC
This 229-nucleotide ribosomal RNA is filed under the name uncultured bacterium. Its description in RNAcentral is "partial 16S ribosomal RNA". It matches the Rfam family "Bacterial small subunit ribosomal RNA", at positions 568 to 796 of the family's 1533-position model. The record is from RNAcentral.